GGGACAUGAUGGAAGGCCUGGAGUUUGCAAAAAGUCAUAUGAAAGAUGGAGCAUAAGGCAAAAAUAUUAUGUUGUCUGAUGAGAAACAAAUUGGCCUGAAUGCAAAGCGCUAUGUCUAGAGAGAAACAGGCACAGCUAAUCACCCAUCUAACACCAUCCCUACUGUAUAGCGGUGGUGGCAGCAUCUUGCUAUAGGGAUACUUUUCAGUGGCAGGGAUUGAGAGACUGGUAAGGAUACCGCGAACAAUGAAUGGUGUCAAAUCCCUGAUGAGAACCUGCUUCAGAGUGCAAAUGACCUUGGACUGGGGUGAAGAUUUACAUUCCAACAGGACAAUGACCCCUGGAAUGACUGGAAUGACUUCAGAAUAAGAGUUUGAAAGUCCUUGAGUGGCUCAACCAAAGCCCAUUGAAAAUCUAUGGAGAGACUUGAAGAUUGCUGUUCACCGCCACUUCCCAUUUAACUUAACAGAGCUUGAGAAAAUCUGCAAGGAAGAAUGGGAGGAAAUCCCCAAAUCCAGAUGUGCAAAGCUGAUGCAGGACGUACCCAAGACGACACAAAGCUGUAAUCGCCACCAAAGGUGUUUUUGACUCGGGUGUGAAUACUUAUGUAAAUUAUAUGUAUUUAUGAUUCAAUACAUUUGCAAAAAUAAAUGUUUUCACUUUGACAUUAUGGGGUAUUUUGUGUAGGAAAAUUUAAUUUUGGGGCUUUAACCCAACAAAAUGUGGGAUAGGUUGAGGGGAAUGAAUACUUUCUGACAGCACUGUAUAGCUGUGAACAAAUUGCUCUAAACAUUCCAGGAGCACUCUAUCUCAUCGUUCUCUACCUUCUCACCUGUUGCUAAGUCCUCCAAAACAUCAGAAGACAAUAAUAUUGGCAAUUUCCUGAUUUCGGUUGUCUGACAGUAUUGAGUGAAUGCUUUUGUUUGUUGACCACAGUUACUGUCAGUUUUUGUGUCCGAUUUACUCAAAUGGUAAGAAAACAUGGUUUACUUUAGUUCUCACAAUCUUUUCAAUUGAAUAAAAUUACAUUUGUCAAAUUGAAAUGUCAAUAUCAGCACUAACUGUCAUUGAUCACAAGAAUCUUGUUUGAUUUUAUUUUGAGAGUUUACUGGCUGCCAUAUCUUUACCAGUUUCUGCAACUGUCUUUUUAUAUAUUAGGAUAAACAUUUCUGUAAAGUAGAUUUUGUAGAUUGUAAUAUGUGUUCACUGCCUUUGUGAAACCGAUUGACAUCUCUGUAAAUUGAAUGAUUGGCUUUCAGCACAGUAUUCAUAUGAAGCAAUAAAUGCUAACAUUUUAAGUGUGGGGUUUGCUUAAUUUGUAUC
Oncorhynchus tshawytscha (Chinook salmon) is the source of this 1323-nucleotide long non-coding RNA. The record is from Ensembl. Lineage: Eukaryota; Metazoa; Chordata; Actinopteri; Salmoniformes; Salmonidae.